AAGGUAUUAUACUAUUAUGUCAACUAUAUUUUAUUGUUAAAACAUUUUAACAAUAAAAUAUAGUUGACAUAAUAGUAUAAUACCUUUACAUUCUUAA
Paramuricea clavata is the source of this 97-nucleotide non-coding RNA. The record is from the annotation of a GenBank genome assembly. NCBI's taxonomy places the organism in Eukaryota, Metazoa, Cnidaria, Anthozoa, Malacalcyonacea, Plexauridae.